Capsicum annuum is the source of this 495-nucleotide long non-coding RNA. RefSeq lists it as uncharacterized. The transcript is spliced from 3 exons. NCBI's taxonomy places the organism in Eukaryota, Viridiplantae, Streptophyta, Magnoliopsida, Solanales, Solanaceae. The record is from RefSeq and is a predicted model, not a curated record.
AAAAAUGCACUUGCUCUCCAUCUCUCUAUAUAAAGAAUUCUUCCAGAAUGAAAUUAUUUUAUAGGGCAAGUGAAAGUAAAUCAAAUUGGUGUAAUACGUCGAUUAUGAUGUAGAGGGUGAUAUGCUCGAGCAUGCUAAUAUAAGAAUGACUGAGUCCUCCUUCAAAAGUGUUCAUAUGUUGCAUGCAAUGGAGGUAAUUUGUGUUAGCUGGACUUUGGAGGCAAUGACUACUGCUUAUGGAAUAUCUGAGCCAAUUUCAACUUCUGGACCUACUGAGUUGGAUGUUUUUCGAAAUUGCAAAUUGGAAAAGAGAAUCGUUCAAAGUAUCGAAACGAACUGGCAACAAUGUAGAAAUUGAAGGAAGCGGCUAGUUCUAGAUCGAAGAAAUCAGGUUCUAAAGCGGCAAGUAAGAAGAAGUUUGAUGAUUCCGGUCGACCACGUCUUCCAAAGAUAUUGAUUAUGAGUUUAUGUAUAAGUUGACAUAUGUAUAAUAAG